GGAGAGGAGCUUGAAAAUCAUGUGGGAUUUCAACAAGCAGCAGCAGCAUUCCUCCAUCUCUGAGUAUCAAGCAGAAUUUCACUUGAUUUUUGUCUCAUCACUGCUUCCAGUAGACCGUAUCUUGAUUAGCUUCUCUUUGGCUCGGAAGAGGACGGCAUGAAAUUCAUCAAAAUAAGGUAGGAUCUCUGCACUCAAGAGAAAUAGGUUCAUAAACAAAUAAACGAGAUGCAGAAGACAUCUAUCUUCACCUCAAGUUGCAUAAUUUCACAGACUAAAAUCAGGUCUGCUAUGGAUGGUUGAGAUCUUCCCAGCAGAAAGUGUCCAUCACCCUUGAGCCAGAAGGAUUCGACCAUUGGAAGAGAAGCUAGGAGGACUUUUCUAGCUUCAGCUGCUGCUUCUAAAUUCGGAGGCAGGCCAGCGAGUAAAGGUCCAACGGUACUGUUGAAGACUAAUCCAGCUGUAAACAUAAGCAUUGUUCAGAGUACCAUCCUAUAAAUACAGAUAUGAUAAUCUCAACAAAUUUAACUUGUCAUCAGGGAUUAUUCAAAGAUGGCUUCUUCCUGUUUCUUCACUUUUUGUCAUUUGUGUGGUCUGAUGGACAUAUUUGUUAAGGGACGAAUGCAAUUAAUUUCUUGUAUCAA
Molecule: non-coding RNA, 641 nt
Organism: Coffea arabica (coffee)
Lineage: Eukaryota; Viridiplantae; Streptophyta; Magnoliopsida; Gentianales; Rubiaceae
Source: RefSeq, a predicted model, not a curated record